ACUGGUUUCAGUGUGAGCAUACAGCAGUCCGGAGCCAAAAUUUGGUGGCUCUAGCUCUUAUAGGCUGUGAGAACUAGCCGACACACAAGACGGACAGACGGACGGACGGACGGACAGACAGACAUGGCUCUAUCGACUCGGCUAUUGAUGCUGAUCAAGAAUGUAUAUCCUUUAUGGGGUCGAAAACGCUUCCUUCUGUGCGUUACAUACAACAGUUAUUCACACAAAUACAAUAUACCCUAUUUACUCUUCAGGUACCGGGUAUAACAAUGUAUGACAUAUUCUUCGGUUCUUUAUGUUGUAUUAAACAAGCACAACGUUAAAAAACUAACUUAUCUGUCUCCUUUACGAUCAACAUAAGAUACUUCCGUUACAUCUACUAAGGCUUAGAAAAACUCUAAUGUGUAUGAAAAAAAUAAUCAAUAGGGGAAACAAAUUCUUGGCGAUAUAUGUAUUUUC
This 459-nucleotide long non-coding RNA is filed under the name Drosophila guanche. Lineage: Eukaryota; Metazoa; Arthropoda; Insecta; Diptera; Drosophilidae. The record is from RNAcentral.